This is a long non-coding RNA of Brassica napus (rape), 1543 nucleotides long. RefSeq lists it as uncharacterized. Lineage: Eukaryota; Viridiplantae; Streptophyta; Magnoliopsida; Brassicales; Brassicaceae. The record is from RefSeq and is a predicted model, not a curated record. The transcript has 2 exons.
UAAUUGCUUAUAAAUUCAUAUCAGAACUGGAUGAUGCUGUGUCUAUGAAUCGGUGAUGAAUUAAUGUGUUAACGAUUUCAUAAUGUUCUAUCACAGAUUAAUGGUUUCUUGGUCCAACAGCCAAUCAUUUACAACAACAGAAAAUCAGCCAUAUUUAAUUAUGACUUUGUAUAUCCAAAGGUUAUGUCCUUCACUCUGUUUCAUCUGAUUUUUGUUAGAUGUUUUUUAUGUAUGUGGCUAAGUUAUGUGAUGUAUCUUCAUUUUUGUUAGAUUUAUGGAGAAUCAUAUUAUCACGGCGAAGUGGGGAGAUUCAGGUAUAUUAGUGUUCAAGGGUCAUUAAUUGGUGGAUCCAAGAAAACUAUUGGGAGUUGGUUUCUUUCUUUUAAAAGAACCGUCUUUUCACCAAUCAGUUUGUAUUUGGUUCCAUGAUCAACUUGGAUUAUUUCUGCAGAGAUGGUUACUUUAAAGGAGCAAAAGUAAGAAUGAAGAUGGAGAGAGAGAGAGAGAGAGAGAUAGAGAGAGAGAGAGAGAGAUAGAGAGAGAGAGAGAGCAUGCAUAUAGACGAGCUAUGAAGACCUUUGUGAAAUGGAUUCGAGAAAGGUUUUCUUCAAACAAAACAGAAGUCUUCUUUGUACAUUUUCUCACGCUCCUUCUUGAGGAAAAUAACUAUUUCGAAGAUGCUUUCAAGGUGUAUGAAAGAGGCGUCAAGACAUUCAAGUAUCCUCAUGUGAAAGACAUAUGGGUAAGACAAAGCUGGAGCGUGCCAGAGUUUGUUCGAGUAUGAUGCUUCAAUGCCCUAUCAGAUGCUGACAGGACCUUAUACCUUCAAUAAACCAAGCUAGAAGAGGAUUACGGUCUGGCCAAGCGAGCUAUGAAUGUUUAUGAAAAAACCAAAGAGGUUUCUGAAGGCCAAAUGUCACAAGUAUGAGGUGCAUCAUGGGAAUGAAGACACAUACAGAAAAAUGCUUCGGAUCAAGAGAAGUUUCGCAAGUUACAGUCAGGUUUGCUCUCCAGUUCUUACAGUCAGGUGAUUUUGCUGGUUUCCAUUGUUUUCAGCUCAGAAACAACUGUUUGUUGUCAAUUUUGAGGAUCCAUCUGUUGUACUUUUAGCAGUUGGAAGCUGAAUGACCUGACCGUAUUUAAUAUUUUUGGUUCAGAUUUAUUCCACUCUGCCAUAGAACAUGAUGCAAAAAGACAAGAUGGUAGAUAUGGAGGGGCAAAAGGCGAGCUGAAGAAACCAGGUUUCACAGAAGAUUAAAUGGCAGCUCAUGCCCGCAACAUCUGCCACAAUUAUAUCAAAAGAUGGUGGAAUGCAACUCGGGUUUGUGAACACUUUGCUUCCUUAAGAAAGUAAUGAUGAGUCGGAUGGAGAAGACAAAGUAGAGAUGGCUUAGAAAGAAGUCCAAGCUGCUAUGUUUGGAGGACUUGCUAGAAAGAGAGACGAAGAUGGGGUGAAAACGGUGCAAGCUAAACCAAAACAGCACAUAAAAUUUAGUACUUAGCACUCGCGUCAACAUCAUCAAUAAAAAUAUACUUCAACAAA